UACAGAGGGUGCAAGCGUUAAUCGGAAUUACUGGGCGUAAAGCGCACGUAGGCGGUUUUUUAAGUCAGAUGUGAAAGCCCCGGGCUCAACCUGGGAAUUGCAUUUGAAACUGGGAAACUAGAGUGUGUGAGAGGGGGGUAGAAUUCCAAGUGUAGCGGUGAAAUGCGUAGAGAUUUGGAGGAAUACCAGUGGCGAAGGCGGCCCCCUGGGCCUGUACUGACGCUCAUGCACGAAAGCGUGGGGAGCAAACAGG
This 253-nucleotide ribosomal RNA is filed under the name uncultured bacterium. RNAcentral describes it as "partial 16S ribosomal RNA". It matches the Rfam family "Bacterial small subunit ribosomal RNA", at positions 524 to 776 of the family's 1533-position model. The record is from RNAcentral.